This 850-nucleotide ribosomal RNA is filed under the name uncultured bacterium. RNAcentral describes it as "bacterial SSU rRNA". It matches the Rfam family "Bacterial small subunit ribosomal RNA", at positions 53 to 948 of the family's 1533-position model. The record is from RNAcentral.
ACAUGCAAGUCGCACGGUCAGCAAUGGCAGUGGCGGACGGGUGAGUAACACGUAGGAAUCCAUCCUGGGGUGGGGGACAACAGCGGGAAACUGCUGCUAAUACCGCAUGAUACCUGAGGGUCAAAGGCGCAAGUCGCCUUGGGAGGAGCCUGCGUCUGAUUAGCUUGUUGGUGGGGUAAAGGCCUACCAAGGCGACGAUCAGUAGCUGGUCUGAGAGGAUGAUCAGCCACAUUGGGACUGAGACACGGCCCAAACUCCUACGGGAGGCAGCAGUGGGGAAUAUUGGACAAUGGGGGAAACCCUGAUCCAGCAAUGCCGCGUGUGUGAAGAAGGUCUUCGGAUUGUAAAGCACUUUUGGCAGGGACGAUGAUGACGGUACCUGCAGAAUAAGCCCCGGCUAACUUCGUGCCAGCAGCCGCGGUAAUACGAAGGGGGCUAGCGUUGCUCGGAAUGACUGGGCGUAAAGGGCGCGUAGGCGGCGCGUACAGUCAGAAGUGAAAUUCCUGGGCUCAACCUGGGGACUGCUUUUGAUACGUGCGUGCUUGAGUGAGGAAGAGGGUUGUGGAAUUUCCAGUGUAGAGGUGAAAUUCGUAGAUAUUGGAAAGAACACCGGUGGCGAAGGCGGCAACCUGGUCCUUUACUGACGCUGAGGCGCGAAAGCGUGGGGAGCAAACAGGAUUAGAUACCCUGGUAGUCCACGCUGUAAACGAUGUGUGCUGGAUGUUGGGAAACUUAGUUUUUCAGUGUCGUAGCUAACGCGAUAAGCACACCGCCUGGGGAGUACGGCCGCAAGGUUGAAACUCAAAGGGAAUUGACGGGGGCCCGCACAAGCGGUGGAGCAUGUGGUUUA